RNAcentral lists this ribosomal RNA (465 nucleotides) under Vreelandella stevensii. Its description in RNAcentral is "partial 16S ribosomal RNA". It matches the Rfam family "Bacterial small subunit ribosomal RNA", at positions 338 to 795 of the family's 1533-position model. The record is from RNAcentral. Lineage: Bacteria; Pseudomonadati; Pseudomonadota; Gammaproteobacteria; Oceanospirillales; Halomonadaceae.
CCUACGGGUGGCAGCAGUGGGGAAUAUUGGACAAUGGGCGAAAGCCUGAUCCAGCCAUGCCGCGUGUGUGAAGAAGGCCUUCGGGUUGUAAAGCACUUUCAGUGGGGAAGAAAGCCUUGGGGCUAAUACCCUCGAGGAAGGACAUCACCCACAGAAGAAGCACCGGCUAACUCCGUGCCAGCAGCCGCGGUAAUACGGAGGGUGCGAGCGUUAAUCGGAAUUACUGGGCGUAAAGCGCGCGUAGGCGGUCUGAUAAGCCGGUUGUGAAAGCCCCGGGCUCAACCUGGGAACGGCAUCCGGAACUGUCAGGCUAGAGUGCAGGAGAGGAAGGUAGAAUUCCCGGAGUAGCGGUGAAAUGCGUAGAGAUCUGGAGGAAUACCAGUGGCGAAGGCGGCCUUCUGGACUGACACUGACGCUGAGGUGCGAAAGCGUGGGUAGCAAACAGGAUUAGAUACCCGUGUAGUC